AAAGCUUUAAAUUACUACUUUAAAGGGUUACUACACCCCAAAAUCACCAUCAGGCAGUCACCUGAUGGUAGGACCAUCAACCAAAUCGACCAUAUCAUCAUUAACGGUAAAUGGCGCAGGUCACUGCAAGAUGUUAGAGCCUACCGAGGUGCAGAUGCCUAUAGCGACCACUACCUAAUUGCUGCCACCAUUAAACUCAAGUUGAAGAAGUUAAUCCCACAAGGCCAUUGGCAGAAGAAACUGGACAUUGCAAAGCUCCAACAUCCUAAGAAAAACAAGGAGUUUGUGUUGGAACUCAGAAACCGCUUCAGCACGCUAGAGGCUUCCUGUGAAAUAGAAGAAGAACCCAGCAAAUGGAAUGCUAUCAAAACCAUAUAUUCUGAAACAGCACAAAAAGUCCUGGGCUUCAAACAGAAAGGGGCUAAUGAAUGGAUAUCCGCUAACACUUGGCUGAAAAUCGAAGAGAGGAAAGAGCUGAAGGCAAAGUUGCUGAACAUCAAGUCCCAACGACUCCUCGAGAAAACCAAGAUGUCCUAUAAAAACAAGGACAGAGAGGUGAAGGGGAGUGCUAGAAAAGAGAAAAGGGUCUUUGUUGAACACCUGGCAAGUGAAGCUGAGAAAGCUGCAGCCUAUGGAAAUCUGGGCACAGUGUACAAAAUCACAAAGCGACUCUGUGGCAGAUGCACAAACCAAACUACCCAUGUUAUGGACAAGAAUGGCAACAUCUGUACAUCAGAGAGUGAACAAGCAGCCAGAUGGGUUCAACACUUCCAGGAAAUACUCAACCUCCCUGAACCUGAACAACGAGCCAAUAUCACAACAAUAGAGGAUAUCCUGGAAAUCAACACCAACCCCCCUGACUCUGCUGAAGUUAAAGCUGCCAUUCAAACCCUGAAAAGUGGUAAGGCAUGUGGCAUAGAUGCUAUUCAUGGCGAGAUGCUUAAGGCUGACAUUCUAACAUCAACAAUAGUGCUGACGGACCUAUUCCAAAACAUCUGGAACAGUAACACCAUCCCUGAAGAUUGA
Molecule: long non-coding RNA, 1026 nt
Organism: Cyprinus carpio carpio
Lineage: Eukaryota; Metazoa; Chordata; Actinopteri; Cypriniformes; Cyprinidae
Source: Ensembl